UCUCCCUCUCCCUCUCUCUCUCUCUCUUCGAUCGACCCACCACCAUAGACCCACCGAAUCCCAGUCGCUCCUCUCUGGCGAUCCCGAUUGGACACCAUUAACACCACCGACCGGCGCAACGAUCACCACUGUAACCACCACUGUUCGAGGUUCCCAGAGUUCGAAUCGAUGGCAUGUAGUUCUUCUUCACCCCAAACGGUACGAGUAAUUCUCAGGUUUGGGUUUUUCUCUUUCCAAGGGAUUUCUUCUAUUUUCAAGCACCGCUAAAGUAGUGGAACAGCCGAGGUCAAGGACUCAAAGAUUGUGAAGGAUGCCAAUCUAGCCUUUAACUCCUUUCAAAAGUCUGCAACGACUUGCCGACAUGGAUAACGUGACUAUUUUUGGCCAGAAAAAUCGAAGGCAAGGAGAAAUGGCUCAACAAAGACAAAAUGCAACCACAAAAGGCAAGGAAAAAGAUAAGGCAAUUCGUUCCGACGGAAAAGAGAAAAAUUGGGUAUGAUUCAAAGAGUUGAGUAGGUCAAUAAUCUGUCAUAUUUAUGGGACUAUGCGAACAGAAAGAUCAUUCCAUAUAAUAUUUUUGGCAGUAAGUUCUUUGGAUAUUUGAUCGGUCUGUUCCCAAAUUAUAAAUUUAGUGAUCUUCUGUGUCUAAUGGGAAGAAUAGAUUUGGAUCUAAUUGGAAAAUAGGAGUUUUUAAUGGUUUGAGAACAAUAGGUUUGUGUCUAAUGUUGAAGCCGUUAUAUGUAAUUUGAGUAGGCAAGGACAAAUUGCAC
This is a long non-coding RNA of Rhododendron vialii, 770 nucleotides long. RefSeq lists it as uncharacterized. The transcript has 4 exons. The record is from RefSeq and is a predicted model, not a curated record. NCBI's taxonomy places the organism in Eukaryota, Viridiplantae, Streptophyta, Magnoliopsida, Ericales, Ericaceae.